RNAcentral lists this ribosomal RNA (267 nucleotides) under uncultured bacterium. Its description in RNAcentral is "partial 16S ribosomal RNA". It matches the Rfam family "Bacterial small subunit ribosomal RNA", at positions 91 to 353 of the family's 1533-position model. The record is from RNAcentral.
UUAAGUGGCGGACGGGUGGAGUAACGCGUGGGUAACCUGCCUUGUACUGGGGGACGAACAGUUGGAAACGACUGCUAAUACCGCAUAAGCGCACAGCUUCGCAUGAAGCAGUGUGAAAAACUACCGGUGGUACAAGAUGGACCCGCGUCUGAUUAGCUGGUUGGUGAGGUAACGGCCCACCAAGGCGACGAUCAGUAGCCGGCCUGAGAGGGUGAACGGCCACAUUGGGACUGAGACACGGCCCAAACUCCUACGGGAGGCAGCAUG